RNAcentral lists this ribosomal RNA (497 nucleotides) under uncultured bacterium. Its description in RNAcentral is "partial 16S ribosomal RNA". It matches the Rfam family "Bacterial small subunit ribosomal RNA", at positions 899 to 1397 of the family's 1533-position model. The record is from RNAcentral.
ACUCAAAGGAAUUGACGGGGGCCCGCACAAGCGGUGGAUCAUGUGGUUUAAUUCGAAGCAACGCGAAGAACCUUACCUGGGUUUGACAUCCUUUGAAUACAAUAGAGAUAUUGUCGGCUCGCAAGAGACAAAGAGACAGGUGCUGCAUGGCUGUCGUCAGCUCGUGUUGUGAAAUGUUGGGUUAAGUCCCGCAACGAGCGCAACCCCUGUCUUUGGUUGCCAUCAUUAAGUUGGGCACUCCAGAGAGACUGCCGUCGUCAAGACGGAGGAAGGUGGGGAUGACGUCAAGUCCUCAUGGCCUUUAUAUCCAGGGCGACACACGUGAUACAAUGGUAGGUACAAAGGGCAGCCAAGUGGUGACACGGAGCAAAUCCCAAAAAGCCUAUCUCAGUUCGGAUUGGAGUCUGCAACUCGACUCCAUGAAGUUGGAAUCGCUAGUAAUCGCGGAUCAGCACGCCGCGGUGAAUACGUUCCCGGGCCUUGUACACACCGCCCGU